RNAcentral lists this non-coding RNA (31 nucleotides) under Mus musculus (house mouse). The record is from RNAcentral. Lineage: Eukaryota; Metazoa; Chordata; Mammalia; Rodentia; Muridae.
UAGGCGAGUAGCAGGAAGAAAAGAUGCCCCA